AGGACGAACGCUGGCGGCGUGCUUAACACAUGCAAGUCGAGCGGAAAGGCCCUUCGGGGUACUCGAGCGGCGAACGGGUGAGUAACACGUGAGUAAUCUGCCCCUAGCUCUGGGAUAGCUCCGGGAAACCGGGAUUAAUACCGGAUACGACCACUUUAGACAUCUGUUGUGGUGGAAAGAAUUUUGGCUAGGGAUGAGCUCGCGGCCUAUCAGCUUGUUGGUGGGGUAAUGGCCUACCAAGGCGACGACGGGUAGCCGGCCUGAGAGGGCGACCGGCCACACUGGGACUGAGACACGGCCCAGACUCCUACGGGAGGCAGCAGUGGGGAAUAUUGCGCAAUGGGCGAAAGCCUGACGCAGCGACGCCGCGUGGGGGAUGAAGGCCUUCGGGUUGUAAACCCCUUUCAGCCCUGACGAAGCGAAAGUGACGGUAGGGGCAGGAAGAAGCACCGGCCAACUACGCGCCAGCAGCCGC
This 475-nucleotide ribosomal RNA is filed under the name uncultured bacterium. RNAcentral's name for it is "SSU rRNA". It matches the Rfam family "Bacterial small subunit ribosomal RNA", at positions 26 to 518 of the family's 1533-position model. The record is from RNAcentral.